CCUGGCGGCCAUAGCGCGGGGGACCCACCUGAACCCAUGCCGAACUCAGAAGUGAAACGCCGUAGCGCCGAUGGUAGUGUGGGGUCUCCCCAUGCGAGAGUAGGACACUGCCAGGC
Molecule: ribosomal RNA, 116 nt
Filed under: Yersinia enterocolitica subsp. palearctica YE-150
Lineage: Bacteria; Pseudomonadati; Pseudomonadota; Gammaproteobacteria; Enterobacterales; Yersiniaceae
Source: RNAcentral